This 620-nucleotide ribosomal RNA is filed under the name Acanthurus triostegus (convict surgeonfish). RNAcentral describes it as "partial small subunit ribosomal RNA". It matches the Rfam family "Bacterial small subunit ribosomal RNA", at positions 542 to 1448 of the family's 1533-position model. The record is from RNAcentral. Lineage: Eukaryota; Metazoa; Chordata; Actinopteri; Acanthuriformes; Acanthuridae.
AGUUGACAGACAAUCGGCGUAAAGAGUGGUUAAGUACUACACCCUACUAAAGCCAAACACCUUCAAAGCUGUUAUACGCACCCGAAGGUUAGAAGCCCAAUCACGAAAGUGGCUUUAAACUUACUGAACCCACGAAAGCUAGGGCACAAACUGGGAUUAGAUACCCCACUAUGCCUAGCCUUAAACAUUGAUGGUAAUUUACAACUACCAUCCGCCUGGGAACUACGAGCACCAGCUUAAAACCCAAAGGACUUGGCGGUGCUUUAGACCCACCUAGAGGAGCCUGUUCUAGAACCGAUAACCCCCGUUCAACCUCACCCUUCCUUGUUCUUCCCGCCUAUAUACCACCGUCGUCAGCUUACCCUAUGAAGGAUUAAUAGUAAGCAAAACUGGCAAAGCCCAAAACGUCAGGUCGAGGUGUAGCGUAUGGAAGGGGAAGAAAUGGGCUACAUUCACUAACCCAGUGCACACGGAUGACACCCUGAAACAGAUGUCUGAAGGAGGAUUUAGCAGUAAGUAGAAAAUAGAGUGUUCUUCUGAAACUGGCCCUGAAGCGCGCACACACCGCCCGUCACUCUCCCCGAGCUAAAACUCUCAAGUAAAUAAAUAGCUACAUUGCA